Anolis carolinensis (green anole) is the source of this 45-nucleotide regulatory RNA element. It matches the Rfam family "Histone 3' UTR stem-loop". Rfam says of the family: The mRNAs of metazoan histone genes lack a poly-A tail. 3' end processing occurs at a site between a highly conserved stem-loop (modelled by this family) and a purine rich region around 20 nts downstream (the histone downstream element, or HDE). The stem-loop is bound by a 31 kDa stem-loop binding protein (SLBP - also termed the histone hairpin binding protein, or HBP). Lineage: Eukaryota; Metazoa; Chordata; Lepidosauria; Squamata; Anolidae. The record is from Rfam.
CCAAAGGCUCUUUUAAGAGCCACCCACUUUUGCAACAAGAGAGCU